RNAcentral lists this long non-coding RNA (1845 nucleotides) under Homo sapiens (human). RNAcentral describes it as "HSALNT0324227". Lineage: Eukaryota; Metazoa; Chordata; Mammalia; Primates; Hominidae. The record is from RNAcentral.
CAGAGCCUCAAAGAGCACCCAGCAUAACUGUGGGAGAAUAGUAAGCAUUGGACACAAAAUGGUUUAGGCAAAUAAUGAUGAACAAAAAUGGUCAGUCUGUGUUCCUGCUGACCCAGCACAGUGGGGACGCUGUGUAGGACAUGACCUUUGGGGGAAAGGACACAAGAACUCAGCGUGGGGGAUCCAGAAAAGAAGUCGCACGUAUUGAAGCCAGUAACGCCAAGCCAGUGAAUUCUCCUUGACGAGAAAGACCCACUUACUCUGCAGAAGAGAUAUAUGACAGCUGACAAUCCCUGGAGGAGAAUCUUUCUACUAAAUUGGUAAGGGAUGCUAAGCAAAUGAUGUGGACUCAGGAAACAACGCAUUUCAUGAUAUACGGUUGCCUCUCAAGGUGAAUUCGAGACCCCUCUUGAAUUACAAAGAGUUGAAAACAUUCAAGUACGGAAUAAACUAUUACUGCGAAUACGCUCAUAUGACACAAGAACAAUCUCUGAGCUUCUUUGAGGAUGUCCAGAUGACUGCUGACUGCACUAAUUGCAUCAAUCGUGUAUCCAUACAGGUUCUUUCUAUAAAAUAGUGGUCGCUAGUUAUGAGGCGUUAAGCCUUCAUGGAUAUAAACAGACUAUUCCACCUAAGUGAUCUGGCAGAAGCUUAGUUUUCUACCACAACAUCCACCGUCCUCCCUCCCUCCCUUCCUAGCUGGUCAGAAAAGCUACUCAGAAUAAAGACUACAUUUCCCAGCCAUCUUUGCAGCUAGGUUUAUCCACCUGACUAAAUUCCACCGUAACUCCAGGUUGAAGAACUUCUACUUAUAGGCAUCUAUUCAACGAAGACGAAUCCUGGAAUGGGGAUGGAAAUGAUGGCUCAUGUCUUAGCAAACUACCAAACUGAUCCGAGAGGACAGGGAAGUCAGUGUGGGCGGCUCUAAGGAGCCUCCCUCUCUACAGCUGCGGCUCAGAGGAUUACGGCGCUUCAUCCACAAGGCAACAUUGCACAAGUAGCUUUUGAACAAAAGUCAUGGAUACUAUUAAUGAUAUGUUCCCACACACAUUUAGUGUCGUCUCAAAAUUCACGCUGUCAACUGUCUCUAGGAAUCAUUUCCAUCUGAGAACAGACCACACAAAGACACAGUGAAACUCAGUUUCUGCAGAAUUUGAUUUCAUUUGAGUUACUGGGGAACAAAGCAAUUAGACAAUGAAUAAUAGCUCAAGACAGGCUGAAGCUGAAGAUUUCUGCAAAAGAAUGAAGAGGAAACGUUUUGAUCCUGAGCAGAUGUUCUCCCUAGAUUGCUUCACCUGAGGUUGAUUGACUUUUGGAAACGAGAUUUGUUCCCAGUGCUUUGUGAGUCUCUUGUUGGAAGGACUGUCUUUAAAUUAAAGCAAUUAGAGUUACUUUAUAAGAUUUACCCAAAUAUAAGAGCUGAAGAGAAUAAUUCAAAUUGAUCAGAAGAAAAUACUCAAUUACUGACAAAUGUCAAUUACAUCAAUAGGAGGAGAAAAUGUGUAAUUGUAAGCAGCUGAACUAAAAUAUCUCUGUGACAUUUUGCUGGUGACUCCAGCCCUGUGAGAUCUGAGUGGCUCAGGAAUCAAAUUCUCCCACAAACCUGAGGAAGCCUUUUAUUCUUAAUGCCAACAGGAUGCCCCAUGCCCAGAAUGUCAAAUCUGAACACCAAUGGAAUGCAUUUUAUAAACAAAUUGAAAAAGGACAAUCUUUAACAGAAUUGUUGUUCUCUAGGCAGAUUAGUUGUGCUUCAAAUACAAAAUGAAAUAUUAGAGAACAAAAUUAUUUUUAAACAGCUAAUACUAGUAGAAAAUAAAAGGCUGAAAAGUGCUAUAAUGUGUAAAA